RNAcentral lists this transfer RNA (68 nucleotides) under Anodontites trapesialis. Its description in RNAcentral is "tRNA-Val". The record is from RNAcentral. Lineage: Eukaryota; Metazoa; Mollusca; Bivalvia; Unionida; Mycetopodidae.
UUCACAAAGUAGUAUAAUAAUUACUUUUCGUUUACACCGAAAAAAUGGUCUAAAACCCUUCGUGAAUU